GGAAUGUGGCUCAUGUGGUAUCGCGCUCGCCUGGCAUGCGUGCGGCCUGGGUUCGAUCCUCAGCACCA
RNAcentral lists this transfer RNA (68 nucleotides) under Marmota monax (woodchuck). Its description in RNAcentral is "tRNA.Ala". The record is from RNAcentral. Lineage: Eukaryota; Metazoa; Chordata; Mammalia; Rodentia; Sciuridae.